Molecule: transfer RNA, 99 nt
Filed under: Pseudonocardia sulfidoxydans NBRC 16205
Lineage: Bacteria; Bacillati; Actinomycetota; Actinomycetes; Pseudonocardiales; Pseudonocardiaceae
Description: tRNA-Asp
Source: RNAcentral
GUCGGAGCGGCCGGCGGGACGGCGGCGGAGGCUCCGUCGUAGCCGUAGCGGCGCUCGGCCGGGAGUCCGCGCUGCGGCUCGUACCCGCGCUCCGGCGCC